AAAAUUUUGAUCCUAUAAAUUAAGAAUACAUUAUAAUUCAUAAACUGAACCAAAAACUACUUUUGGUAUAAGUACAGAGAGAGUGGAAACCUUAGCUAAGAAGUUUGACCCAUACCCAACCGGCAUCUGCAGUUUUGUUACCUAAUUUGCAGAAUUCAUGUAGCUUAUUCCAUUCACAAAGCCGUAGAGUGACAGAAAGCUUUUUCCAUUUUCCAGCAAAAUAGUGUACAGGCAGCAGCAUGUUAUAAAACAAAGCAGCUCUUGCCAGUUAAUCAAGAUUCUCCAGCUUCUCCUUGUGCCUGGACCUCUGCAGCCUUGCCCAGACAUCCUUGCCUAGGUCCAUCUGGAACUAAGGAACUUUAUGUUCUACUUUUCCUCUGGAGAGAUGGAAAGACUACUAAGGAUGGUGGCGAGGGGCAGAUGGAAGACAUCUGAAGAUGAGAAUAUCUCAGACUGAA
RNAcentral lists this long non-coding RNA (458 nucleotides) under Bos indicus x Bos taurus (hybrid cattle). RNAcentral's name for it is "lncRNA (ENSBIXG00000016054.1)". The record is from RNAcentral. Lineage: Eukaryota; Metazoa; Chordata; Mammalia; Artiodactyla; Bovidae.